RNAcentral lists this long non-coding RNA (20726 nucleotides) under Triticum aestivum (bread wheat). RNAcentral describes it as "long non-coding RNA (TAES_LNC004683)". Lineage: Eukaryota; Viridiplantae; Streptophyta; Magnoliopsida; Poales; Poaceae. The record is from RNAcentral.
UUUUUUUUUGUUAGUUUCUUUUCUGUUUUUGUCUUUGUUUCCUAUUGUUUUAGUUUUUUGUAAAAUAUAUACUUGGCAUCUAAUUUAGUAAUUCAAUUUAGGCCAUUGUCACAAAAAGUCUAGUCCUCAAAUAAUUUAGUUUGACAUUUUAUUAAUUACAAAAGGUAUUUAAAUAAUUAUUUAUGCUGUUGUUUUAUUCAUCUGAUAGUAUUUAAACAUUUUAUAAAGGUGUGGUUUCUCCACCAUAAUUACCUAUGCAAUAUUUGGUUCACUCCGGACAUUUUAGUUUUAAUAUUCGAAAACUUUUAUUGUUUGACUUGAUUUCGAAUUUUGAAUUCGAACGGGAUUUGAACCAGAGUGAGUUUAGUAACAAUAACAGUGGUGAUGUGGCAUCAUUGAGGGUUACGGUAGCUUAAUUAUCCGGGCAUCACAAUUCUCCUCCACUACAAGAAAUCUCGUCCUAAGAUUUAGGAGGCGGAGUAAGGGGGAAGAUCUGGUUACGAAUUCUAACGAGUCUUCUUGGUCUUGGUUACUCUUCUCGAAGAGGUCAAUUCAUUACGUUGAUGUCUUCAUUUCUCUGCUUCGGGAACUCCAUCGUACUUACGAAAGAAUAAAGGGUGGGUAGCCCGGGAGAACGGACCUCUACAAGGUUGACUAUCUGGUCGAUAACAUCGGGGGAAGGUGGAAAGUAACUCUCGAAUUGAAACUUAAGAAAAUAUCAAUAGUAAAUAAAGGAGGUAUCGUGGGAAGUUUCGAGCGGGCAGGCAAUCGCCCAAUGCCUGAAACAGAGUGUGAAAGGGGUUCAAAGCAAUCGGAAUAAGUAUUAUGUCUGAUGCCAAUAUAGAUCAGUAGGACGGUGGUCCGUGAAUUACAUAUGAGGCCACGCGCGAUGAAUAAAUUUGGGAACAGGGGGUGCACAGGAGAGUCAGGUUUUGAUCCUAUGGAACUGUGGGUUAUGGGCCCACCAUGUGGUUAAAGUAGGAAGGGCGGUGACAUCUUGCACGAUCAUGAUAGCAAGGCAUGUCAGAGGGUAGCCUGUCAGUUAUAUGUCAGCAACAUCGUCGGUACCAAGGGCGAGGGACGAAGAGAACCAUUUUCCUGCUCGUUGAAACGAGGCGGACCAAUAGGCAAGGUUCUCGUCCAUCGGUGGUUACCGGAAUGUCAUCAACAAUAGUAAGAGGGUCUUACUGACAGAGUUGUACACCGAGAUGUUUGCACAAGCAGGGAAUUAUUACUGCUUAUAUCAUAUAGAUCAUAGAAACGGUUUAAACAAACCAAUGGAAAGGGAAAAGUGUCUAUCAGAUUUAAUCAGAACAAUGGAAAGAAAAAUGUGUUUAAACACAUAAUUCAGGGGUAUAUCCUUCCCAAGGACAAGCAGAGCAUGAUAUCCAUGACAAGGUAUAACGUAGAAAACCAUUUAGGUUAGGGGAGAGGAAGUUCAUGACAUUACCCAUACAAUGAUGUUUGGAUAAUUUGAUAAAGAAAAUCUAGCAUUUGUGCUUCAAAUGUUCAUAUUGAAGAUCGGAGUACCACAUACAUGCUUCGAGAUAGCAUUGACAUGGUUUUCAAGCAAAGGUCAGACUCUCGAUACACAAAGGAUUCAUCAGGAACAACUGGUAGAAUAAGUCUUACAAUUUCCUCAUGGAAGAAUGGAUAACCUUGCCAAAAGCAAGCUAUAACAAUAGGCCCUCCGGCCAGGUGUACUCGGCAUGACACCACCUUACCGGGUCAUAUAACGAACAAUGUUAUAACUCUUGAAAUUAUGUUCCAACCAUCAUAUCUGACCGAGAUUCAGAUCUGGUUGGUGUCAGGAUUGUUGGAAAUAUGCCCUAGAGGCAAUAAUAAAUGGUUAUUAUUAUAUUUCUUUGUUCAUGGUAAUUGUCUAUUGUUCAUGCUAUAUUGUAUUGUCCGGAAAUCGUAAUACAUGUGUGAAUACAUAGACCACAACGUGUCCCUAGUAAGCCUCUAGUUGACUAGCUCGUUGAUCAACAGAUAGUCAUGGUUUCCUGACUAUGGACAUUGGAUGUCAUUGAUAACGGGAUCACAUCAUUAGGAGAAUGAUGUGAUGGACAAGACCCAAUCCUAAGCAUAGCAUAAAAGAUCGUGUAGUUUCGUUUGCUAGAGCUUUUCCAAUGUCAAGUAUCUUUUCCUUAGACCAUGAGAUCGUGCAACUCCUGGAUACCGUAGGAGUACUUUGGGUGUGCCAAACGUCACAACGUAACUGGGUGACUAUAAAGGUGCACUACGGGUAUCUCCGAAAGUGUCUGUUGGGUUGGCACGGAUCGAGACUGGGAUUUGUCACUCCGUGUGACGGAGAGGUAUCUUUGGGCCCACUCGGUAAUGCAUCAUCAUAAUGAGCUCAAUGUGACUAAGGCGUUAGUCACGGGAUCAUGCAUUGCGGUAUGAGUAAAGAGACUUGCCGGUAACGAGAUUGAACAAGGUAUUGGGAUACCGACGAUCGAAUCUCGGGCAAGUAACAUACCGAUUGACAAAGGGAAUUGCAUACGGGAUUGAUUGAAUCCUCGACACCGUGGUUCAUCUGAUGAGAUCAUCGUGGAACAUGUGGGAGCCAACAUGGGUAUCCAGAUCCCGCUGUUGGUUAUUGACCGGAGAGGCGUCUCGGUCAUGUCUGCAUGUCUCCCGAACCCGUAGGGUCUACACACCUAAGGUUCGGUGACGCUAGGGUUGUAGAGAUAUGUGUAUGCGGAAACCCGAAAGUUGUUCGGAGUCCCGGAUGAGAUCCCGGACGUCACGAGAGGUUCCGGAAUGGUCCGGAGGUGAAGAAUUAUAUAUAGGAAGUCAAGUUUCGGCCACCGGGAAAGUUUCGGGGGUUACCGGUAUUGUACCGGGACCACCGGAAGGGUCCCGGGGGUCCACCGGGUGGGGCCUGUUGGAAAUAUGCCCUAGAGGCAAUAAUAAAUAGGUUAUUAUUAUAUUUCCUUGUUCAUGAUAAUCGUUUAUUAUCCAUGCUAGAAUUGUAUUGAUAGGAAACUCAGAUACAUGUGUGGAUACAUAGACAACACCAUGUCCCUAGUAAGCCUCUAGUUGACUGGCUCGUUGAUCAAUAGAUGGUUACGGUUUCCUGACCAUGGACAUUGGAUGUCGUUGAUAACGGGAUCACAUCAUUAGGAGAAUGAUGUGAUGGACAAGACCCAAUCCUAAGCCUAGCACAAGAUCGUGUAGUUCGUUUGCUCAGAGCUUUUCUAAUGUCAAGUAUCACUUCCUUAGACCAUGAGAUUGUGCAACUCCCGGAUACCGUAGGAAUGCUUUGGGUGUGCCAAACGUCACAACGUAACUGGGUGGCUAUAAAGGUGCACUACGGGUAUCUCCGAAAGUGUCUGUUGGGUUGGCACGAAUCGAGACUGGGAUUUGUCACUCUGUGUAAACGGAGAGGUAUCUCUGGGCCCACUCGGUAGGACAUCAUCAUUAUGUGCACAAUGUGACCAAGGAGUUGAUCACGGGAUGAUGUGAGUUACGGAACGAGUAAAGAGACUUGCCGAUAACGAGAUUGAACAAGGUAUAGGGAUACCGACGAUCGAAUCUCGGGCAAGUAACAUACCGAUGGACAAAGGGAAUUGCAUACGGGAUUGAUUGAAUCCCCGACAUCGUGGUUCAUCCGAUGAGAUCAUCGUGGAACAUGUGGGAGCCAACAUGGGUAUCCAGAUCCCGCUGUUGGUUAUUGACCGGAGAACGUCUCGGUCAUGUCUGCAUGGUUCCCGAACCCGUAGGGUCUACACGCUUAAGGUUCGAUGACGCUAGGGUUAUAGGGAAAGUAUGUACGUGGUUACCGAAUGUUGUUCGGAGUCCCGGAUGAGAUCCCGGACGUCACGAGGAGUUCCGGAAUGGUCCGGAGGUAAAGAUUUAUAUAUGGGAAGUCCUGUUUUGGUCACCGGAAAAGUUUCGGGUGAAAUCGGUAAUGUACCGGGACCACCGGGAGGGUCCCGGGGGUCCACCAAGUGGGGCCACCAGCCUCAGAAGGCUGCGUGGGCCAAGUGUGGGAGGGGACCAGCCCCAGGUGGGCUGGUGCGCCCCCCACCAAGGCCCAAGGCGCAUGGGAGAGUGGGAGGGGGCAAACCCUAGGUCCAGAUGGGCCUUAGGGCCCAUCUAGUGGGGCGCCCCCCCCCUCUCCUCCCCUUGGCCGCCCCCCUUGAUGGGAUCUAGGGCUGGCCUCCUCCUCUUGGGGGUGGAAACCCUAAAGGGGGCGCAGCCCCCUUCCCCCCUAUAUAUACUUGAGGUUUGGGCUGCCAUACAGACAGGAGAACGUCUCUCUUUCGGCGCAGCCAUACCCCUCUCCCUCCUCCUCCACUCCCGCGGUGCUUGGCGAAGCCCUGCGGGAUUGCCACGCUCCUCCACCACCACCAUGCCGUCGUGUUGCUGCUGGAUGGAGUCUUCCCCAACCUCUCCCUCUCUCCUUGCUGGAUCAAGGCGUGGGAGACGUCACCGGGCUGCACGUGUGUUGAACGCGGAGGCAUCGUUCUUUCGGUGCUUAUAUCGGAAUCAACCGCGAUCUGAAUCGCUACGAGUACGACUCCCUCAUCCGCGUUCUUGCAACGCUUCCGCAUCGCGAUCUACAAGGGUAUGUAGAUUCACUCCCCUUCCCCUCGUUGCUAGAUUACUCCAUAGAUUGAUCUUGGUGAUGCGUAGAAAAUUUUGAAUUUCUGCUACGUUCCCCAACAGGGCCACCUAUCCCGGAGGGCCCCAUGGGCUGAAGUGGGAAGGGAACCAGCCCCUAGUGGGCUGGGCGCCCCCCCAUGGGCCUCCUCCCAUGCGCCUAGGGUUGGGAACCCUAGGGUGGGGGGGCUUCCCACUUGCCUUGGGGGGCAAGGCACCCCCUUGGCCGCCGCCCCCCACCCUAGAUGGGAUCUGGCCGGCGCCCCCCCCUCCCAGGGGGCCUAUAUAAAGGGGGGGAGGGAGGGCAGCAAUAGAACAGCCUUGGGCGCCUCCCUCCUCCCCUGCAACACCUCUCCCUCUCGCAGAAGCUCGGCGAAGCCCUGCCGAGACCCGCUACAUCCACCACCACGCCGUCGUGCUGCUGGAUCUCCAUCAAUCUCUCCUUCCCCUUGCUGGAUCAAGAAGGAGGAGACGUCGCUGCACCGUACGUGUGUUGAACGCGGAGGUGUCGUCCGUUCGGCACUCGGUCAUCGGUGAUUUGGAUCACGGCGAGUACGACUCCGUCAUCCACGUUCAUUGGAACGCUUCCGCUCGCGAUCUACAAGGGUAUGUAGAUGCACUCCUUUCCCCUCGUUGCUAGUAUACUCCAUAGAUGCAUCUUGGUGAGCGUAGGAAAAUUUUAAAAUUAUGCUACGAAUCCCAACAGUGGCAUCAUGAGCCAGGCCUAUGCGUAGUUACUAUGCACGAGUAGAACACAAAGAAGUUGUGGGCGUUGAUGUUGCCAAUUCCUCUUGCCGCUACUAGUCGUUUCUUGUUUCGGCGGCAUUGUAGGAUGAAGCGGCCCGGACCGACCUUACACGUACGCUUACGUGAGACAGGUUCCACUGACUGACAUGCACUAGUUGCAUAAGGUGGCUAGCGGGUGUCUGUCUCUCCUACUUUAGUCGGAACGGAUUCGAUGAAAAGGGUCCUUAUGAAGGGUAAAUAGAAAUUGGCAAAUCACGUUGUGGUCAUACGUAGGUAAGAAAACGUUGUUGCUAGAAACCUACAAACCACGUAAAAACUUGCAACAACAAUUAGAGGACGUCUAACUUGUUUUUGCAGCAAGUGCUAUGUGAUGUGAUAUGGCCAGAAGAUGUGAUGAAUGAUAUAUGUGAUGUAUGAGAUUGAUCAUAUUCUUGUAAUAGGAAUCACGACUUGCAUGUCGAUGAGUAUGACAACCGGCAGGAGCCAUAGAAGUUGUCUUUAUUAUUUUGUAUGACCUGUGUGUCAUUGAAUAACGCCAUGUAAAUUACUUUACUUUGUUGCUAAACGCGUUAGCCAUAGAAGUAGAAGUAAUCGUUGGUGUGACGACUUCAUGAAGACACAAUGAUGGAGAUCAUGAUGAUGGAGAUCAUGGUGUCAUGCCGGUGACGAAGAUGAUCAUGGUGCCCCGUAGAUGGAGAUCAAAGGAGCAUGAUGAUAUUGGCCAUAUCAUGUCACUAUUUGAUUGCAUGUGAUGUUUAUCAUGUUUUUGCAUCUUAUUUGCUUGGAAUGACGGUAGUAAGUGAGAUGAUCCCUUAUAAUAAUUUCAAGAAAAUGUUCACCCUAACUGUGCACCGUUGCGAAGGUUCGUUGUUUCGAAGCACCACGUGAUGAUCGGGUGUGAUAGAUUCUAACGUUCGAAUACAACGGGUGUUGACGAGCCUAGCAUGUACAGACAUGGCCUCGGAACACACGCAAUACACUUAGGUUGACUUGACGAUCCUAGCAUGUACAUACAUGGCCUCGGAACACGGAGGACCGAAAGGUCGAGCAUGAGUCGUAUAGAAGAUACGAUCAACAUGGAGAUGUUCACCGAUCUUGACUAGUCCGUCUCACGUGAUGAUCGGACACGGCCUAGUUAACUCGGAUCAUGUUUCACUUAGAUGACUAGAGGGAUGUCUAUCUGAGUGGGAGUUCAUUAAAUAAUUUGAUUAGAUGAACUUAAUUAUCAUGAACUUAGUCUAAAAUGUUUACACUAUGUCUUGUAGAUCAAAUGGCCAACGUUGUCCUCAAUUUCAACGCGUUCCUAGAGAAAACCAAGCUGAAAGAUGAUGGCAGCAACUAUACGGACUGGGUCUGGAACCUGAGGCUCAUCCUCAUAGUAGCCAAGAAAGAUUAUGUCUUAGAAGCACCGCUAGGUGAUGCACCAUUCCCAGAGAACCAAGACGUUAUGAACGCUUGGCAGCAGCGUGCUGAUGAUUACUCCCUCGUUCAGUGCGGCAUGCUUUACAGCCUAGAACCGGGUCUCCAAAAUUAUUUUGAGAAACAUGGAGCAUAUGAGAUGUUCGAGGAGCUGAAAUUGGUUUUCCAAGCUCAUGCCCGGGUCGAGAGAUAUGAUGUCUCCGAUAAGUUCUUCAGCUGUAAAAUGGAGGAGAACAGUUCUGUUAGUGAGCACAUACUCAGAAUGUCUGGGUUGCACAACUGCUUGACUCAGCUGGGUGUUAAUCUCCCGGAUGACGCGGUCAUUGACAGAAUCCUUCAGUCGCUUCCACCAAGCUUCAAGAGCUUUGUGAUGAACUACAAUAUGCAGGGGAUGGAAAAGACCAUUCCUGAGGUAUAUUCGAUGCUGAAAUCAGCGGAGGUGGAAAUCAGAAAAGAGCUUCAAGUGUUGAUGGUGAAUAAAACCACUAAGUUCAAGAAGGGCAAGGGUAAGAAGAACUUCAAGAAGGACGGCAAGGGAGUUGCCGUGCCCGGUAAGCCAGUUACUGGGAAGAAGUCAAAGAAUGGACCCAAGCCCGAGACUGAGUGCUUUUAUUGCAAGGGAAGUGGUCACUGGAAGCGGAACUGCCCCAAAUACUUAGCGGACAAGAAGAAGGCCGGCAACACCAAAGGUAUAUGUGAUAUACAUGUAAUUGAUGUGUACCUUACCAGUACUCGUAGUAGCUCCUGGGUAUUUGAUACCGGUGCGGUUGCUCAUAUUUGUAACUCAAAACAGGAACUACGGAAUAAACGGAGACUGGCGAAGGACGAGGUGACGAUGCGCGUCGGGAAUGGUUCCAAGGCCGAUGUGAUCACCGUCGGCACGCUACCUCUGCAUCUCCCUACGGGAUUAGUUUUAAACCUCAAUAAUUGUUAUUUAGUGCCAGCUUUGAGCAUGAACAUUGUAUCUGGAUCUCGUUUAAUUCGAGAUGGCUACUCAUUUAAAUCCGAGAAUAAUGGUUGUUCUAUUUAUUUGAGAGAUAUGUUUUAUGGUCAUGCCCCGCUGGUCAAUGGUUUGUUUUUGAUGAAUCUCGAACGUGAUGUUACACAUGUUCAUAGUGUGAAUACCAAAAGAUGUAAAGUUGAUAACGAUAGUCCCACAUACCUGUGGCACUGCCGCCUUGGUCACAUUGGUGUCAAGCGCAUGAAGAAGCUCCAUGCAGAUGGACUUUUGGAGUCUCUUGAUUACGAAUCAUUUGACACGUGCGAACCAUGCCUCAUGGGUAAGAUGACCAAGACUCCGUUCUACGGAACAAUGGAGCGAGCAACCAACUUAUUGGAAAUCAUACAUACCGAUGUGUGCGGUCCAAUGAGUGUUGAGGCUCGCGGAGGAUAUCGUUAUGUUCUCACUCUCACUGAUGACUUAAGUAGAUAUGGGUAUGUCUACCUAAUGAAACACAAGUCUGAAACCUUUGAAAAGUUCAAGGAAUUUCAGAGUGAGGUUGAGAAUCAACGUGACAGGAGAAUAAAAUUCUUACGAUCAGAUCGUGGUUGAGAAUAUUUAAGUCACGAGUUUGGUGCACACUUAAGGAAAUGUGGAAUAGUUUCACAACUCACGCCGCCUGGAACACCUCAGAGAAAUGGUGUGUCCGAAUGUCGUAAUCGCACUCUAUUGGAUAUGGUGCGAUCUAUGAUGUCUCUUACCGAUUUACCGCUCUCAUUUUGGGGUUAUGCUUUAGAGACUGCCGCAUUCACUUUAAAUAGGGCUCCGUCGAAAUCCGUUGAGACGACACCGUAUGAAUUAUGGUUUGGGAAGAAACCUAAGAUGUCGUUUCUAAAAGUUUGGGGAUGCGAUGCUUAUGUCAAGAAACUUCAACCUGAAAAGCUCGAACCCAAAUCGGAAAAAUGCGUCUUCAUAGGAUACCCUAAGGAAACCAUUGGGUAUACCUUCUACCUCAGAUCCGAAGGCAAGAUCUUCGUUGCCAAGAACGGGUCCUUUCUGGAGAAGGAGUUUCUCUCGAAAGAAUUGAGUGGGAGGAAAGUGGAACUUGAUGAGGUGAUAGUCACCCCUUCCGAACCGGAAAGUAGCGCAGCGCGGGAAAAUGUUCCUGUGGUGCCUACACCGACUGGGGAGGAAGUUAAUGAUGAUGAUCAUGAAGCUUCAGAUCAAGUUACUGAACUUCGUAGGUCCACAAGGACACGUUCCGCACCAGAGUGGUACGGCAACCCUGUCCUGGAAAUCAUGUUGUUAGACAACGGUGAACCUUCGAACUAUGAAGAAGCGAUGGCGGGCCCGGAUUCCGACAAAUGGCUAGAAGCCAUGAAAUCCGAGAUAGAAUCCAUGUAUGAAAACAAAGUAUGGACUUUGACUGACUUGCCCGAUGAGCGGCGAGCCAUAGAAAACAAAUGGAUCUUUAAGAAGAAGACGGACGCGGAUGGUAUGUGACCAUCUACAAAGCUCGACUUGUCGCUAAGGGUUAUCGACAAGUUCAAGGGGUUGACUACGAUGAGACUUUCUCACCCGUAGCGAAGCUGAAGUCCGUCCGAAUCAUGUUAGCAAUUGCCGCAUACUAUGAUUAUGAGAUAUGGCAGAUGGACGUCAAAACGGCAUUCCUUAAUGGCUUCCUUAAGGAAGAGUUGUAUAUGAUGCAGCCGGAAGGUUUUGUCGAUCCUAAGAAUGCUAACAAAGUGUGCAAGCUCCAACGCUCAAUCUAUGGGCUGGUGCAAGCAUCUCGGAGUUGGAACAUUCGCUUUGAUGAGAUGAUCAAAGCGUUUGGGUUUACACAGACUUAUGGAGAAGCCUGUGUUUACAAGAAAGUGAGUGGGAGAUCUGUAGCAUUUCUCAUAUUAUAUGUGGAUGACAUACUAUUGAUGGGAAAUGAUAUAGAAUUCUUGGAAAGUAUAAAGGCCUAUUUGAAUAAGUGUUUUUCAAUGAAGGACCUUGGAGAAGCUGCUUAUAUAUUAGGCAUCAAGAUCUAUAGAGAUAGAUCAAGACGCCUCAUUGGUCUUUCACAGAGUACAUACCUUGAUAAGAUAUUGAAGAAGUUCAAUAUGGAUCAGUCCAAGAAGGGGUUCUUGCCUGUAUUGCAAGGUGUGCAAUUGAGCACGGCUCAAUUCCCGACCACGGCAGAAGAUAUAGGAAAGAUGAGUGUCAUCCCCUAUUGCUCGGCCAUAGGGUCUAUUAUGUAUGCCAUGCUGUGUACCAGACCUGAUGUAAACCUUGCCGUAAGUUUGGUAGGAAGGUACCAAAGUAAUCCCGGCAUGGAACACUGGACAGCGGUCAAGAAUAUCCUGAAGUACCUGAAGAGGACUAAGGAUAUGUUUCUCGUUUAUGGAGGUGACGAAGAGCUCGUCGUAAAGGGUUACGUCGACGCUAGCUUCGACACAGAUCUGGAUGACUCGAAGUCACAAACCGGAUACGUGUAUAUUUUGAAUGGAGGAGCAGUAAGCUGGUGCAGUUGCAAGCAAAGCGUCGUGGCGGGAUCUACAUGUGAAGCGGAGUACAUGGCAGCCUCGGAGGCAGCACAGGAAGCAGUCUGGAUGAAGGAGUUCAUUACCGACCUAGGGGUGAUUCCCAAUGCGUCGGGCCCGAUGACUCUCUUCUGUGACAACACUGGAGCCAUUGCCCUUGCGAAGGAGCCCAGGUUUCACAGGAAGACCAGGCAUAUCAAGCGUCGCUUCAACUCCAUUCGUGAAAGUGUUCCAAAUGGAGACAUAGAUAUUUGUAAAGUACAUACGGACCUGAAUGUAGCAGAUCCGUUGACUAAACCUCUCCCUAGAGCAAAACAUGAUCAACACCAGGACGCAAUGGGUGUUCGAUUCAUCACAAUGUAACUAGAUUAUUGACUCUAGUGCAAGUGGGAGACUGUUGGAAAUAUGCCCUAGAGGCAAUAAUAAAUGGUUAUUAUUAUAUCUCUUUGUUCAUGGUAAUUGUCUAUUGUUCAUGCUAUAUUGUAUUGUCCGAAAUCGUAAUACAUGUGUGAAUACAUAGACCACAACGUGUCCCUAGUAAGCCUCUAGUUUACUAGCUCGUUGAUCAACAGAUAGUCAUGGUUUCCUGACUAUGGACAUUGGAUGUCAUUGAUAACGGGAUCACAUCAUUAGGAGAAUGAUGUGAUGGACAAGACCCAAUCCUAAGCACAGCAUAAAAGAUCGUGUAGUUUCGUUUGCUAGAGCUUUUCCAAUGUCAAGUAUCUUUUCCUUAGACCAUGAGAUCGUGCAACUCCUGGAUACCGUAGGAGUACUUUGGGUGUGCCAAACGUCACAACGUAACUGGGUGAGUAUAAAGGUGCACUACGGGUAUCUCCGAAAGUGUCUGUUGGGUUGGCACGGAUCGAGACUGGGAUUUGUCACUCCGUGUGACGGAGAGGUAUCUUUGGGCCCACUCGGUAAUGCAUCAUCAUAAUGAGCUCAAUGUGACUAAGGCGUUAGUCACGGGAUCAUGCAUUGCGGUACGAGUAAAGAGACUUGCCGGUAACGAGAUUGAACAAGGUAUUGGGAUACCGACGAUCGAAUCUCGGGCAAGUAACAUACCGAUUGACAAAGGGAAUUGCAUACGGGAUUGAUUGAAUCCUCGACACCGUGGUUCAUCCGAUGAGAUCAUCGUGGAACAUGUGGGAGCCAACAUGGGUAUCCAGAUCCCGCUGUUGGUUAUUGACCGGAGAGGUGUCUCGGUCAUGUCUGCAUGUAUCCCGAACCCGUAGGGUCUACACACCUAAGGUUCGGUGACGCUAGGGUUGUAGAGAUAUGUGUAUGCGGAAACCCGAAAGUUGUUCGGAGUCCCGGAUGAGAUCCGGACGUCACGAGAGGUUCCGGAAUGGUCCGGAGGUGAAGAAUUAUAUAUAGGAAGUCAAGUUUCGGCCACCGGGAAAGUUUCGGGGGUUACCGGUAUUGUACCGGGACCACCGGAAGGGUCCCGGGGGUCCACCGGGUGGGGCCACCUAUCCCGGAGGGCCCCAUGGGCUGAAGUGGGAAGGGAACCAGCCCCUAGUGGGCUGGGCGCCCCCCCAUGCGCCUAGGGUUGGGAACCCUAGGGUGGGGGGGCUUCCCACUUGCCUUGGGGGGCAAGGCACCCCCUUGGCCGCCGCCCCCCACCCUAGAUGGGAUCUGGCCGGCGCCCCCCCCUCCCAGGGGGCCUAUAUAAAGGGGGGAGGGAGGGUAGCAAUAGAACAGCCUUGGGCGCCUCCCUCCUCCCCUGCAACACCUCUCCCUCUCGCAGAAGCUCGGCGAAGCCCUGCCGAGACCCGCUACAUCCACCACCACGCCGUCGUGCUGCUGGAUCUCCAUCAAUCUCUCCUUCCCCUUGCUGGAUCAAGAAGGAGGAGACGUCGCUGCACCGUACGUGUGUUGAACGUGGAGGUGCCAUCCGUUCGGCACUCGGUCAUCGGUGAUUUGGAUCACGGCGAGUACGACUCCGUCAUCCACGUUCAUUGGAACGCUUCCGCUCGCGAUCUACAAGGGUAUGUAGAUGCACUCCUUUCCCCUCGUUGCUAGUAUACUCCAUAGAUGCAUCUUGGUGAGCGUAAGAAAAUUUUAAAAUUAUGCUACGAAUCCCAACAAGGAUAACUCAGACUCAGGAUGCCUGAGAAGAAAGGUGCAACACAAAUCGACGAAAUGACAUUGCAAGAUUCUCGGGAAAUGAACUAUGGGAGCGUGUUCCUGAAGCAAUAGUUCAUCAUUAAACCAAGGAGAGGAUGAGGAGGUGGCUGAUGAACUUAGCGACAAUUCAUCGAGAUUUCCAAAAAGAUGUAUUUCCACAAUUAUGUGAACAAAGAGAUAACAUUUGUCAAAUCAAAUGAUAUAAUUAUGUAUGCUCGAGUAAAUUAUACACCAUUAAACAUUGGUUGAAAGGUGCACCCGAAAUAUGGGCUAGGUAGCACGAUCAAUGUUCGAAUGAGGAUUCAUUAAGCCAUAGACGUAGAAUGAAACUGUAGACCAAUAACUUCAAAGCAAUUGGGUUGCUAGAAGUUUAGAAUUUACACAUCACAGACCAUUUGUCGGUAUUUCAUUGAGAAACAACACGGGGACCAAGAAAGAAUGGUGAUGGUGAGAAGUAUCAUUGUACCAAGAAUUCUUAAGAGGUGGAGUAAUGCUCACGACAUUCUUGACAUCAAAGAUGGUAAUACACCACAGUAGAACAUAACAUAGGUUGGAUAGUAGGGAAAUCAAGAUACAACACAAAAUAUGAACAAGUUUGUGUUGGGGGGAGGCAAGAAUGUUGUCGAUGAUAACACAAUUCAUCGAGGGGCAAGGAUGGUAUUUCUCAUCCUGAAUUUUGACACACAACUUGGAAGAAGUCAAAUUGUUGACAAUGACCACGACAAAUUUGUCGAGAGGUUUUCAAGAAGAUGUAAUUGAUCGACGAUGACAUCAAGUCAAAGGAAUGAUGAAAGCGAAAGGUUAUUGGAACCACGGGUAGGACACAAACUCGAAAUCAAGUUUGCUGUUCAAGGAGAAGUGAUAUGACGAGGAAGAUCGACGCAAGAUUAGCUCACUGUCGAAAUUUGUGCGCUGGGAAGGUCCAGGUAGCACAGUUAAAAUCGGCACGAUAAUGACAUAGCCAAGCAGGCUAGGAAUGACUUGAAGGAUUAUUAAACUCGUAAGCAACAAAAAUUACUUAGAGUUAUUGAAUCGGAGUGCGGAAUUGAUUCACUUUUCGGUGUCCUUGAGGGGUUCUAACAACUCAGAACUCGUUGGAAAAAUGGAAUCGGCAAGAAUAUUAGUUGAUGAAGAACUCAUAAGAAGUUAAGUAGUUCCUUGGCAUUCUCGAGAUACCAGGGGGUAAUACUCGACGACAGACCAAAGUACAGGUUGGACGGGGUAUUGCUCUGCAGAGGACAAGUGCUUAAACUUGCACGAGAAAUGGUAUUUAAAGGAGAACAUGGUCGGAACCACGAUUGCAAAAGGAUCAAUACACAGAUACUAGACGAUAUCAUAUCAAGGAAAUAGUUAUUAUUACAAGAAGCUUCUAUGAUAGGAUCUACAUCGUGUCCAUGGGCAUGAACACAAAGUUCAAGGUCGACUCCCACUUCUCCAAUGCAUACCCUUUCAUUCACUUCUCAUUUUUCGAAGAAGUUGUAAUGUUUAAAUUUUAUCUAGCAAAACUCUAGAAGAGUAUGACUCGUGAUAGCUCUCGGGUUUACCCGGAUCUGGAAAGGCAUAGGUUCAACCCUUAGGGUCAUAUUGGGAACAUAUACCACAAGCUUCAAUAGUAAAUAACACAAGCUCGAUAGUAGAGCAUGGGUGACAAAAGGAGAGGAUACAAUUUACCGAAGGCAUUAUGUAUGAGGGAAGAACUUCUCAAGGUGAUUGAAUAUGAAGGGCACUGUCGGAUAAAAAUCCAACAAUGGAUCGGGCGAUCCACAACAGAGCUGAUGUGAGUAUCGGUACUCAAUCAGAGGAAGAAAGAAUGCAAAGGCAUCAGAUUAUGGGAAUAACUAACUAAUUCAAAUCUCAAAUGCAAAGGAAUUGCCAAAUCAAGAGAUCAGAAGCAAACACUCUGAUUGAGGAUGGAUAAGUUGAGUAAACUUAUGGGUACAACGGACGGCUAUUCGGUUGGUCGAGAACCAGUUCAUGUUUAAAAUGACGUCUGAUCCGGAAGGAUGAAUUCUAGGAUCUGAUUGAGGAUUGCGAGCAUUCGCAACAAAUUGAAUCAACGGACUCAAAAUGAUAAUGACAAGAGAUGUCAAUAAGAUUGUAGACUUAUGGGAUUAACCAUACUGCAAGCAAGUAAGAAUUUCAAGAGCAAUAGGCUACUCAGGAUUUUCGGAAGUUCAAAUAGUAUUUUUAAGACUUUUGUCAAAUACAUGAAUCAACUGGGGAUGAGCAAAUAUCCGGUGAGUGCUAGAAAUUAGUCACCACAUGCAAGGCAGUAGGCAAAAAGGAUUCUCGAAACAACGACGAGUAUUUCGGGGUAUCUUGUAAUAACAAGACCAACUAGGGAUGAAUGUAAGAAUUACAACUGCAUGUAGUUAUCCAUAAGGGUUGACGGUGGAAGGGGAAUUGCAAACGUGAUGAACACAAGUUCUCGGGUUAACAGCGGGGAGUGUCUUCAGGGUCUUCACGUGCAGCAGACAAUCAUCACUAAUAAGGGGCUCUCCGGGUGAAAGUGAUAACGAGAUCCUAAUGUUAGAUUUAGCAAAAUUCACUUAACCCGAAUAGAAGAGAGAUCAGAGUCCCAGAGUAUAGAUCGAGAAGUAAAAGAUCCUAAUACCACCCAAAUGGCGACGUGGGCCCAUAAGCCACACAGCCAUGUUAGUAAAAGUUUUUCAAUGACUAGACUCGACUUUGGCCAAGGAGUGUGGAAGGGGGAUUCCUACAGGCAGUCGGCUCUGAUACCACCUUGUGACGCCCCCGAUUAAAUCGUACACUAAUCAUGCACGCAAAUGUGUACGAUCAAGAUCAGGGACUCACGGGAAGAUAUCACAACACAACUCUACAACAUAAAUAAGUCAUACAAGCAUCAUAAUACAAGCCAGGGGCCUCGAGGGCUUGAAAACAAGUGCUCGAUCAUAGACGAGUCAGCGGAAGCUACAAUAUCUGAGUAUAGACAUAAGUUAAACAAGUUUGCCUUAAGAAGGCUAACACAAAAGUAGCAACGAUCGAAAAGGCAAGGCCUCCUGCCUGGGACCUCCUAACUACUCCUCGAAGCCGAACUCCAUGUAGAAUCAUCCUCGGGAUCUCUAGCUCCUGGACUCUAGCAUCUGGUUGCGACAACCAGGUAUAGAAAGGGGAAAAGAGGGAGAAAAGCAACCGUGAGUACUCAUCCAAAGUACUCGCAAGCAAGGAGCUACACUACAAAUGCAUGGGUAUAUGUGUAAAGGGCCAUAUCGGUGGACUGAACUGCAGAAUGCCAGAAUAAGAGGGGGAUAGCUAAUCCUGUCGAAGACUACGCUUCAGGCCACCUCCAUCUUGCAGCAUGUAGAAGAGAGUAGAUGGUAAGUUCACCAAGUAGCAUCGCAUAGCAUAAUCCUACCCGGCGAUCCCCUCCUCGUCGCCCUGUUAGAGAGCGAUCACCGGGUUGUAUCUGGCACUUGGAAGGGUGUGUUUUAUUAAAUAUCCGGUUCUAGUUGUCAUAAGGUCAAGGUACAACUCCGGGUCGUCCUUUUACCGAGGGACGCGGCUAUUCGAAUAGAUAAACUUCCCUGCAGGGUGCACCACAUAACCCAACACGCUCGAUCCCAUUUGGCCGGACACACUUUUCUGGGUCAUGCCCGGCCGCGGAAGAUCAACACGUCGCAGCCCCACCAAGGCACAACAGAGAGGUCAGCACGCCGAUCUAAAUCCUCUGGCACAGGGGUCUGGGCCCAUCGCCCAUUGCACACCUGCACGUUGCGAGGGCGGCCGGAAGCAGACCUAGCCUAGCAGGCAUUCUAGUCCAAUCCGGCGCGCGCCGCUCCGUCGCUGACGUCACGAAGGCUUCGGCUGAUACCACGACGUCGAGUGCCCAUAACGGUUCCCGCGUAGUUGGUUAGUGCGUAUAGGCCAGUGCCAGACUCAGAUCAAAUACCAAGAUCUCGUUAAGCGUGUUAUUUUUAAGUAUCCGCGGACGCCGACCAGGGCCAGGCCCACCUCUCUCCUAGGUGGUCUCAACCUGCCAUGUCGCUCCGCCACAAAGUAACAGUCGGGGGCCGUCAGGAACCCAGGCCCACCUCUACCGGGAUGGAGCCACCUGUCCUUUCAGCCCCCUCAUCAGAAUCACUUGCGGGUACUCAACGAGCUGAUCCGACUUUAGUCACCACAUGUGUCAUGUAUAUAAAGUAUAAAGUAUAUACCCGUGAUCACCUCCCUAGUGAUCACGGCCCGAUAGUAUAGCAUGGCAGACAGACAAGAGUGUAGGGCCACUGAUGGAACACUAGCAUCCUAUACUAAGCAGUAGGAUAGCAGGUAAGGGUAACAACUGUAGCAACAAUGACAGGCUAUGCAGCAGAAUAGGAUUAACCGAAAGCAGUAACAUGCUACACUCUUCUAAUGCAAGCAAUAUAGAGAAGAAUAGGCGAUAUCUGGUGAUCAAGGGCGGGGCUUGCCUGGUUGCUCUGGCAAGAAGGGUUCGUCGUCGAUGUAGUCGAUCACAGGGGUACCAGCAGCGGUCUCGGGGUCUACCGGAAAGAAGUAACGGAGGGGGGACACAAUAAAUAACAGAGCAAUGAAAGCAUCACAAAGCAUAACAUGGCAAUACGCGGUGCUAGAGGUGAUCUAACGCGGCAGGAGGUGAUACCGGCAAAGAGGGGAAACAUCCGGGAAAGUAUUCCCGGUGUUUCGCGUUUUCGGACAGAUGAACCGGAGGGGGAAAGUUGUGUGUUCGAUAUGCUAGGGGUGUGUGGCGGACGAACGGGCUGCGUAUCUGGAUUCGUCUCGUCGUUCUGAGCAACUGUCAUGUACAAAGUAUUUUCAUCCGAGGUACGGUUUAUUUUAUAUUAAUUUUCAAAGUUUAAAAUCAUUUUUAGAAUUAACAGAAUUAAUUUAAUUCGAAACUGGAUUUAUGACAUCAGCAUGAUGUCAUGCUGACGUCAGCAGUCAACAGGGGUUGACUGGUCAACCUGACCAGUGGGUCCCACUGGUCAGUGACACAUUUUAAUUAAACAUAUUAAUUAACCUAAUCAGGAUUAAUUAGGGGUGGGCCCCACUGUCAUUGACUACUUAAUUAGCUAAUUAGGUUAAUUAGGUAACUAAUGUUUAAUUAGUUUAAUUGGUUGUUUAGUUUAAUUAAUUAAGUUAAUUAAUUAAUUAAUUUUAUUAUUAUUAUUUAUUUAUUUUUAUUUCUUUUUUUUAUAAACGUUCUCAGGGUUCCGGGCCCCGGCUGUCAGUGGCCAAUGGGCCACUGGAACGGGCGCGCUGGUUAACGGGCAUAGCCCGAACGGGCACAUGCCCGAGGGGCGCUGGGCACGCACGGCGCUCACCGGCGGCCAGGACCAGGGGAGACGACGGAGGGGUGGUCGCGAACCGGCUGGGCGGAGCGGGCGCAGGGGGGCGCGGCUGGAGGUGGUGGUGGCAGGGGGAGGCGCUCGGCGACGAGGCCAGGGGCGGAGCGGCGCGUGCGGGACGAAGGCGAUGGCCGGAGCGAGCAACUGCAGGGGAGNNNNNNNNNNNNNNNNNNNNNNNNNNNNNNNNNNNNNNNNNNNNNNNNNNNNNNNNNNNNNNNNNNNNNNNNNNNNNNNNNNNNNNNNNNNNNNNNNNNNNNNNNNNNNNNNNNNNNNNNNNNNNNNNNNNNNNNNNNNNNNNNNNNNNNNNNNNNNNNNNNNNNNNNNNNNNNNNNNNNNNNNNNNNNNNNNNNNNNNNNNNNNNNNNNNNNNNNNNNNNNNNNNNNNNNNNNNNNNNNNNNNNNNNNNNNNNNNNNNNNNNNNNNNNNNNNNNNNNNNNNNNNNNNNNNNNNNNNNNNNNNNNNNNNNNNNNNNNNNNNNNNNNNNNNNNNNNNNNNNNNNNNNNNNNNNNNNNNNNNNNNNNNNNNNNNNNNNNNNNNNNNNNNNNNNNNNNNNNNNNNNNNNNNNNNNNNNNNNNNNNNNNNNNNNNNNNNNNNNNNNNNNNNNNNNNNNNNNNNNNNNNNNNNNNNNNNNNNNNNNNNNNNNNNNNNNNNNNNNNNNNNNNNNNNNNNNNNNNNNNNNNNNNNNNNNNNNNNNNNNNNNNNNNNNNNNNNNNNNNNNNNNNNNNNNNNNNNNNNNNNNNNNNNNNNNNNNNNNNNNNNNNNNNNNNNNNNNNNNNNNNNNNNNNNNNNNNNNNNNNNNNNNNNNNNNNNNNNNNNNNGUGGCUCCGGCGGGGGUUCCGGGCGGCGGCGGCGUCGAGCACCCCCGAUCCCGAUCGGGGAGGAGCGAGAGAGAGAGGGGAUCGGGGAGAGUGGGUGGGGGUUCGGGUUAGGUUAGGGUUUGGCUGGGGGGUGAGGGGAUAAGGUGUGGCCGGCUGGGCCUGGUGGGUUGGCCCAGUGGGGUUGAUGGCCUGCUAGGCCGGAGCCCGGGGGGGUUCUUUUCCUUCUUCUUUUUUUUGUUAGUUUCUUUUCUGUUUUUGUCUUUGUUUCCUAUUGUUUUAAUUUUUUUGUAAAAUAUAUACUUGGCAUCUAAUUUAGUAAUUCAAUUUAGGCCAUUGUCACAAAAGUCUAGUCCUCAAAAUAAUUUAGUCUGACAUUUUAUUAAUUACAAAAGGUAUUUAAAUAAUUAUUUAUGCUGCUGUUUUAUUCAUCUGAUAGUAUUUAAACAUUUUAUAAAGGUGUGGUUUCUCCAUCAUAAUUACCUAUGCAAUAUUUGGUUCACUCCGGACAUUUUAGUUUUAAUAUUCGAAAACUUUUAUUGUUUGACUUGAUUUCGAAUUUUGAAUUCGAACGGGAUUUGAACCAGAGUGAGUUUAGUAACAAUAACAGUGGUGACGUGGCAUCAUUAGUAGAGGGUUACGGUAGCUUAAUUAUCCGGGCGUCACAGCUCAGCAAUGGGGGAGUGCCCAUUCCCCCGUUGCCCGACGCCGUGGCCAAACCAUCCUUCUUCGCCGACGAGGUCGAGAUCGUGCGCGCCUCCCUCACCGACGCCGAGCUCUCCCUCCCCCAGUACGCCGCCGACAACCACGCGGCUUGGGCGGCGUACUUCGAGCGCCGCCAGCAGCAGCGGCUGGCGUCCACCAACGGGGCGCCGGUGGUCGGCGGCGUGAAGAAUAGCGAGGGGCGCCACCUGUAGUGGGGCGCCCCCGGUCGCACACUUGAGGACGUGCUGACGCACCUCGAGGGCGGCAACAACCCGCCGUUGGCGUACCCCCCGGCGAGGGCGGACGCCCCGGCGCACCGCCGACGCGACGGGCAAUGGGCGCCAAGGAGGUUCGGCGCGUCCUCCUCCUCUUCCUCCUCCCGCUCCUCCUCCCACUCCUCCGGCACUCCGACGCUGCUCGGCGUCAAGGCCGAGCCCGGCAUCGUCAUCAACGAGGGCGGCCAGCGCGCCUCCUCGUCGGCUCCUCCUCCGCGCUUCGUCAAGCCAAAGACGGAGCCGGGGCUGGCGCCGGUGAAGACGGAGCACGGCGAGGUCGAGCUCGACGACGACGCGGCCCUUGAAUGGGCACGCCAGGACUCCAUCAAGAUGGCGACGGAGCGCCAGCGACGACGACGACGACGCGCCGCCGCCGCCACCAUCCGGGGAGGGGUCCAGCAGGGGCGCCCGAGUCAAGGAGGAGAAGGCCGACGAUGGCGGCGACGACGGCGACUUCUCGGCCUUCAGCAAGUUUUUUUAUUAGUUUUUAUAUGUAAUGGCGACUACUCGACUUAAAUCCGCGAAUAUAAGCCCAAGUUUGCCGAAAUUUGACGUGUUUUAGCCGAACUUUACGUAAAUUUGCUACACAAUUUAUUUUUUUCCCUGCGCCUGGGGCCGGCGGCUGGGGGCCAACUCGCCCCAGGCCCAUUUUUUUCGCCGGGUCAUCCCCAGGCGGCGAUUUUAGGCGCCCCUGGGGCCAACGGCUGAAGAUGCUCUCACAGGCCGAGUGCUAGACGCCACAGGCGGAGCCAUCGAGCGGCGAGGUGACGGGCAAAAGGAGGCUCAUCACGGUAGGAAAAUGGCCAGCCCAACAACCAUUAACAACCAAGAUCGGUCGAUUAGACAAGGUGAAAGUGAGUGAGGGAGGGAGGGGAGCUGGCAUAGGCAAGCAAAGCAAAGCGUUGGCAGCGAAAGCCUAGCUACCGCGUGCAAAUCACUGGGUGUUUUAAAUAAGCAAGCAAGCAAGCAUUACAACAGCUGGUGCUUAGGUACAGUACAGGCAUCAUCCAUGUGUUACUUUCCAAGAAUCAAACGCUUACAGUAGUGACUGACAUGUGCUAUAGAACAGAAUCAAAGCCCGUGAGAAAAAAGAAAAAAGGGGCCAAAAAGGAGAAGAAGAUGAAAGAAAAAAUGAAGACAUGCACAAGUUGCUGAUGAGCAAAGACAAGAUCCAUGCAAAGAACUAAGCAAUUUCCUUUCUUCCAACUGAUGAAGGGAUCAAUGCCGGUCGGUUAU